UGAGGAAUAUUGGUCAAUGGGCGAGAGCCUGAACCAGCCAAGUAGCGUGAAGGAUGAAGGUCCUACGGAUUGUAAACUUCUUUUAUACGGGAAUAAAGUAUCCUACGUGUAGGAUUUUGUAUGUACCGUAUGAAUAAGCAUCGGCUAACUCCGUGCCAGCAGCCGCGGUAAUACGGAGGAUGCGAGCGUUAUCCGGAUUUAUUGGGUUUAAAGGGAGCGCAGACGGGAGAUUAAGUCAGUUGUGAAAGUUUGCGGCUCAACCGUAAAAUUGCAGUUGAUACUGGUUUCCUUGAGUGCAGUUGAGGCAGGCGGAAUUCGUGGUGUAGCGGUGAAAUGCUUAGAUAUCACGAAGAACCCCGAUUGCGAAGGCAGCUUGCUAAACUGUAACUGACGUUCAUGCUCGAAAGUGUGGGUAUCAAACAGG
This 424-nucleotide ribosomal RNA is filed under the name uncultured bacterium. RNAcentral's name for it is "bacterial SSU rRNA". It matches the Rfam family "Bacterial small subunit ribosomal RNA", at positions 355 to 776 of the family's 1533-position model. The record is from RNAcentral. RNAcentral also lists the same sequence under 1 other name.